This 492-nucleotide ribosomal RNA is filed under the name uncultured bacterium. RNAcentral's name for it is "partial 16S ribosomal RNA". It matches the Rfam family "Bacterial small subunit ribosomal RNA", at positions 29 to 507 of the family's 1533-position model. The record is from RNAcentral.
AGUGAACGCUGGCGGUAGGCCUAACACAUGCAAGUCGAACGGCAGCACAGUAAGAGCUUGCUCUUACGGGUGGCGAGUGGCGGACGGGUGAGGAAUACAUCGGAAUCUACUUUUUCGUGGGGGAUAACGUAGGGAAACUUACGCUAAUACCGCAUACGACCUACGGGUGAAAGCAGGGGAUCUUCGGACCUUGCGCGAUUGAAUGAGCCGAUGUCGGAUUAGCUAGUUGGCGGGGUAAAGGCCCACCAAGGCGACGAUCCGUAGCUGGUCUGAGAGGAUGAUCAGCCAGACUGGAACUGAGACACGGUCCAGACUCCUACGGGAGGCAGCAGUGGGGAAUAUUGGACAAUGGGCGCAAGCCUGAUCCAGCCAUACCGCGUGGGUGAAGAAGGCCUUCGGGUUGUAAAGCCCUUUUGUUGGGAAAGAAAAGCAGCAGGUUAAUACCCCGCUGUUCUGACGGUACCCAAAGAAUAAGCGCCGGCUAACUUCGUG